GUCAACUACCCCGGACUGAAGUCCGGAGCUUGCAAGGAGGUACGCAGGUUGGGUUGACCAGGGGGCCGGAGUAAUCCGGCAGACGUUGGAUACGGGUCGCUCAGACGCACCAGUGGAUGCUUCCUCAGUCCACUGCUCUGCAAGGUUGGGAUCGUGCUGGCGAAAGGUAAAACGCCGAAGGUUUCAGCCGCUGCUGGAAACAGCAGGAGCCGGUAUCCAUCCGCCCCGAGGGGAUAUUGAC
Non-coding RNA from Acidithiobacillus ferrooxidans ATCC 23270, 241 nucleotides. It matches the Rfam family "HNH endonuclease-associated RNA and ORF (HEARO) RNA". The record is from Rfam. NCBI's taxonomy places the organism in Bacteria, Pseudomonadati, Pseudomonadota, Acidithiobacillia, Acidithiobacillales, Acidithiobacillaceae.